CCUACGGGGGGCAGCAGUGGGGAAUAUUGGACAAUGGGGGCAACCCUGAUCUAGCCAUGCCGCGUGUGUGAAGAAGGCCCUCGGGUUGUAAAGCACUUUCAGUGAGGAAGAACGCCUGGUGGUUAAUACCCAUCAGGAAAGACAUCACUCACAGAAGAAGCACCGGCUAACUCCGUGCCAGCAGCCGCGGUAAUACGGAGGGUGCGAGCGUUAAUCGGAAUUACUGGGCGUAAAGCGCGCGUAGGUGGCUUGAUAAGCCGGUUGUGAAAGCCCCGGGCUCAACCUGGGAACGGCAUCCGGAACUGUCAAGCUAGAGUGCAGGAGAGGAAGGUAGAAUUCCCGGUGUAGCGGUGAAAUGCGUAGAGAUCGGGAGGAAUACCAGUGGCGAAGGCGGCCUUCUGGACUGACACUGACACUGAGGUGCGAAAGCGUGGGUAGCAAACAGGAUUAGAUACCCCUGUAGUC
RNAcentral lists this ribosomal RNA (465 nucleotides) under Vreelandella stevensii. RNAcentral's name for it is "partial 16S ribosomal RNA". It matches the Rfam family "Bacterial small subunit ribosomal RNA", at positions 338 to 795 of the family's 1533-position model. Lineage: Bacteria; Pseudomonadati; Pseudomonadota; Gammaproteobacteria; Oceanospirillales; Halomonadaceae. The record is from RNAcentral.